CCGGGACCCGUUUCAAGUAAUCCAGGAUAGGCUGUUUUCUCUUCAGCCUGUUCUCCAUUACUUGGUUCGGGGGCCGG
MicroRNA precursor from Monodelphis domestica (gray short-tailed opossum), 77 nucleotides. It matches the Rfam family "mir-26 microRNA precursor family". From Rfam's summary of the family: The hairpin precursors (represented here) are predicted based on base pairing and cross-species conservation -- their extents are not known. In this case the mature sequence is excised from the 5' arm of the hairpin. The record is from Rfam. NCBI's taxonomy places the organism in Eukaryota, Metazoa, Chordata, Mammalia, Didelphimorphia, Didelphidae.